AAAUUGAAGAGUUUGAUCAUGGCUCAGAUUGAACGCUGGCGGCAGGCCUAACACAUGCAAGUCGAGCGGAAACGACAUUAUUGAUUCUUCGGAAGAKUUAAUGGGCGUCGAGCGGCGGACGGGUGAGUAAUGCCUAGGAAAUUGCCUUGAUGUGGGGGAUAACCAUUGGAAACGAUGGCUAAUACCGCAUAAUGCCUACGGGCCAAAGAGGGGGAUCUUCGGACCUCUCGCGUCAAGAUAUGCCUAGGUGGGAUUAGCUAGUUGGUGAGGUAAUGGCUCACCAAGGCGACGAUCCCUAGCUGGUCUGAGAGGAUGAUCAGCCACACUGGAACUGAGACACGGUCCAGACUCCUACGGGAGGCAGCAGUGGGGAAUAUUGCACAAUGGGCGAAAGC
Molecule: ribosomal RNA, 395 nt
Filed under: Vibrio tasmaniensis
Lineage: Bacteria; Pseudomonadati; Pseudomonadota; Gammaproteobacteria; Vibrionales; Vibrionaceae
Description: bacterial SSU rRNA
Rfam family: Bacterial small subunit ribosomal RNA
Source: RNAcentral